This 406-nucleotide small RNA is filed under the name Atta cephalotes. RNAcentral describes it as "sRNA LOC105618078". Lineage: Eukaryota; Metazoa; Arthropoda; Insecta; Hymenoptera; Formicidae. The record is from RNAcentral.
UUCCUUUCCAGUGCUUAACGUUGUCCUGUAAACACGUGGGUGCGAUUGUAAUUAUCGAAUUUAAGGCGAAAUACUCUGCGAAUCGUAAUGCCGUUGGCUAGAGAUUUUCUCCAUCCGAGCCCCAUCGAGGAGAAAAGGAAACACAAACUGAAGAGGCUCGUACAGAAGCCUAACAGUUAUUUUAUGGAUGUCAAAUGCCCGGGCUGCUAUGCUAUCAAAACAAUUUUCUCACAUGCCCAGAGGCCAGUAGAAUGUGACGGAUGCCGUACGAUACUUUGUACACCAACGGGUGGAAAAGCACGGUUAACUGAGGGAUGCUCUUUUAGAAGAAAAGUCCAGUGUUAAUUUUAUUCGAUAUGUAUUCGAUUUCUCUCUUUAUAUUCGAUAAAUAAACACGAUCACAUUA